CCUACGGGAGGCAGCAGUGGGGAAUAUUGCACAAUGGGGGGAACCCUGAUGCAGCGACGCCGCGUGAGUGAAGAAGCGCCUCGGCGCGUAAAGCUCUGUCAGCAGGAACGAUAAUGACGGUACCUGAAGAAGAAGCCCCGGCUAACUACGUGCCAGCAGCCGCGGUAAUACGUAGGGGGCAAGCGUUAUCCGGAUUUACUGGGUGUAAAGGGAGCGUAGACGGCGGGGCAAGUCUGGAGUGAAAGGCCGGGGCCCAACCCCGGGACCGCUCUGGAAACUGCCCGGCUGGAGUGCGGGAGAGGUAAGCGGAAUUCCUAGUGUAGCGGUGAAAUGCGUAGAUAUUAGGAGGAACACCAGCGGCGAAGGCGGCUUACUGGACCGUGACUGACGUUGAGGCUCGAAAGCGUGGGGAGCAAACAGGAUUAGAUACCCGGGUA
RNAcentral lists this ribosomal RNA (437 nucleotides) under uncultured bacterium. RNAcentral's name for it is "bacterial SSU rRNA". It matches the Rfam family "Bacterial small subunit ribosomal RNA", at positions 338 to 792 of the family's 1533-position model. The record is from RNAcentral.